GAUGAACGCUGGCGGCGUGCCUAAUACAUGCAAGUCGAGCGAACAGAUGAGGAGCUUGCUCCUCUGACGUUAGCGGCGGACGGGUGAGUAACACGUGGAUAACCUACCUAUAAGACUGGGAUAACUUCGGGAAACCGGAGCUAAUACCGGAUAAUAUAUUGAACCGCAUGGUUCAAUAGUGAAAGACGGUUUUGCUGUCACUUAUAGAUGGAUCCGCGCCGCAUUAGCUAGUUGGAAAGGUAACGGCUUACCAAGGCGACGAUGCGUAGCCGACCUGAGAGGGUGAUCGGCCACACUGUCACUGGGACACGGUCCCGACGCCUACGGGAGGCAGCAGCAGGGAAUCUUCCGCUAUGGGCGAAAGCCUGACGGAGCAACGUCGCGUGAGUGAUGAAGGUCUUCGGCUCGUAAAACUCUGUUAUUAGGGAAGAACAAAUGUGUAAGUAACUAUGCACGUCUUGACGGUACCUAACCAGAAAGCCACGGCUAACUACGUG
RNAcentral lists this ribosomal RNA (497 nucleotides) under uncultured bacterium. RNAcentral describes it as "partial 16S ribosomal RNA". It matches the Rfam family "Bacterial small subunit ribosomal RNA", at positions 28 to 507 of the family's 1533-position model. The record is from RNAcentral.